Penaeus indicus is the source of this 1097-nucleotide long non-coding RNA. RefSeq lists it as uncharacterized. NCBI's taxonomy places the organism in Eukaryota, Metazoa, Arthropoda, Malacostraca, Decapoda, Penaeidae. The record is from RefSeq and is a predicted model, not a curated record. The transcript is spliced from 2 exons.
ACCAAUGAGUCAAUUACAAGUACUAACUGUCUCACCUUUUACCCUUUUCCAUAAUUUUUUUUAUAUAUGUCUGGUAUCUGAUAUUGCUGUUAGUAAUGUCAAUAACACUAUAAGUAUAAUGUCUGUAAUAAAGUAAUAAAGAUAAAAACAUCAAUAUUGAUAGCAUUAGUAAAAAAGUAUAUAUAUUCCUGCAAACUCAAGGACAGGUAAAAUCAGGUGAGGGCACAAGGUCUAUUAAAUGACACAGUUGUGGCUAAGCACUUGCAUAACCAUCUAUAUGCAGAGAAAUUUCUCAAAACAAUACUGCAUAGAACACAUUUUUUCUGGAGGCUUUGAUUUAAUAAACUAAUAUUACAGUGAGCAUAACAUGUAUUCUUUCCAUCCAGCCUAAUAGAUUAGUAUACAAACUUAUUGAUAGAAAGAAAUACUCAUUAAAAUCCAUUGCUCUUUCUAUAUUUUUUUCUAUCAUUUCCAGUAAUAUCUUGUUUUUACUUUAUCAGGUAAUACCUAAUUCUUACAUGUUACUUUUCAGGCACUUCGGAUCUUGGUCAAUAAUGAAUUAAAUGAACUUGAAUAUGGCCUAAGAUUAGCUCACUACUAUCUGCAACCAGGAGCAUCUCUUGUUGCAAUUUCUUUCCAUUCACUUGAAGACACAAUUAUAAAGCGACGUAUAACUGGUAUGGACAUCGAUAAAACACCAUUAUCUAUUGGCUCAGGUGUGGGAAAACACCGAAGUUCCUUGUCAACUUAUUCAGCAGUCGAGAUGGUAAAUAUGAUGAAGAGACCAUGGACACCACUUGACAAGCAUGUAAUCUUACCAUCAGAAAGAGAAGUUCAGAAAAAUCCUCGAUCUCGGUCUGCAAAACUGAGGGCUGCUAGGAAAUGUUAAUACUACUAGGAACUUGAAAUUGGCUCACCAUAUUUUAAUAAAAUUGAUCAUUCUAAAGGGUUGCUUGUACUAAUAGCAGUCAGUGGUCUCUGACUAUUCAUUGCUAAUUAUGUACAGGAUAAUUUGUAAUGUCUUGUAUUUAAAUGUGUAUUAUACUGUAUAUACUUUUUUCCAUCACAUGGAUUAGGAAUAAAACUAAAAGUUGUAA